Non-coding RNA from Ictidomys tridecemlineatus (thirteen-lined ground squirrel), 69 nucleotides. The record is from Rfam. NCBI's taxonomy places the organism in Eukaryota, Metazoa, Chordata, Mammalia, Rodentia, Sciuridae.
GGGGUUGUAGCUCAGUGGUAGAGCGCUUGCCUAGCAUGUGUGAGGCACUGGGUUCAAUUCUCAGCACCA